This 384-nucleotide ribosomal RNA is filed under the name Triticum aestivum (bread wheat). Its description in RNAcentral is "partial small subunit ribosomal RNA". Lineage: Eukaryota; Viridiplantae; Streptophyta; Magnoliopsida; Poales; Poaceae. The record is from RNAcentral.
AUGGUCGCUGGUUUUCGUUUGUCAUGUGUAUCAAAGAUAGAGCUUUUGUGUUUCUUGACUCGGCGUUUGGAGAGAACUCAACGUAGCACAGAGAUAUCCGUGAUGAGCUGGCAUAAUUGUGGUGUCUUGGCUCUGAAGUAUACGGAGAUCUUCACACCAAGAACUCAGAUGACAAAUCUUUUCUCCAAUAUAGACAUUCCAAAUCUUAGGAUCAAAUAUGUGAAUGAUAUGUUUUUCAGCAUCUGCGACAAAUCUUUUGUCACUGAUUUCUUUGGCGAUGUAUGUUCUUAUUUUCCUUGUCCUCUAGUUCAUUUUCAUUUUCUUUUCUUAUUUUUACCUUUUAUUUUCUUUACCUAUUAUGGCCUCUUUAAUUUUUUUGUGUAG